AGAUCCCCCCCCCCAAAAAAAAUAAUAAUAUACACUUGUGUGUGUAUGUAUAUAUAUAUAUAUAUAUAUAUAUAUAUAUAUAUACACACACACACAUAUACAAGUGUAUAUAUUUUUUUUUGGGGGGGGGGGGAA
This is a non-coding RNA of Pelobates cultripes (western spadefoot toad), 135 nucleotides long. The record is from the annotation of a GenBank genome assembly. NCBI's taxonomy places the organism in Eukaryota, Metazoa, Chordata, Amphibia, Anura, Pelobatidae.